UCUAUUUUGAUGACCACCAUACAAAGCAACUGGAUUGAAAGAGGCAUCGAUGUUGAACAAGGAGUGACGGAGUAUAGCGGUGAACAGAAACACGAGACGAAGCAGCUCAAUAGGCAAAUAGAAGUCCUUUGGCCCAAUUGACAUGAAUAUUAGCACCAUACAGAACCUGAUUAUGAGCAUACCAGUUGGACCAUAAUAGAAUGACAAACUCCUUGGCUUUUGCU
RNAcentral lists this long non-coding RNA (224 nucleotides) under Ricinus communis (castor bean). RNAcentral describes it as "long non-coding RNA (RCOM_LNC002294)". Lineage: Eukaryota; Viridiplantae; Streptophyta; Magnoliopsida; Malpighiales; Euphorbiaceae. The record is from RNAcentral.